This 395-nucleotide ribosomal RNA is filed under the name uncultured bacterium. RNAcentral's name for it is "bacterial SSU rRNA". It matches the Rfam family "Bacterial small subunit ribosomal RNA", at positions 505 to 898 of the family's 1533-position model. The record is from RNAcentral.
GUGUCAGCAGCCGCGGUAAUACGUAGGGUGCAAGCGUUAAUCGGAAUUACUGGGCGUAAAGGGUGUGCAGGCGGCCUUGUAAGUCAGAUGUGAAAGCCCCGGGCUUAACCUGGGAAUUGCGUUUGAAACUACAAGGCUAGAGUGCAGCAGAGGGGAGUGGAAUUCCAUGUGUAGCAGUGAAAUGCGUAGAGAUAUGGAAGAACACCGAUGGCGAAGGCAGCUCCCUGGGCUGACACUGACGCUCAUACACGAAAGCGUGGGGAGCAAACAGGAUUAGAUACCCUGGUAGUCCACGCCCUAAACGAUGUCAACUAGUUGUCAGAUCUAAUUAGGGGUUUGGUAACGUAGCUAACGCGUGAAGUUGACCGCCUGGGGACUACGGCCGCAAGGCUAAA